AGUGAACGCUGGCGGCGUGCUUAACACAUGCAAGUCGAACGAGAACGGCUCUAGCUUGCUAGAGUGUCAGCUAAGUGGCGAACGGGUGAGUAAUGUAUAGCUAACAUGCCUUUUAGAGGGGGAUAACAGUUGGAAACGACUGCUAAUACCCCAUAUUCCCUUUUUAUUAAUUAGAGAGGGGAAAUGCUUUUGUGCUAAAAGAUUGGGCUAUAUUGUAUCAGCUUGUUGGUGGGGUAAUGGCCUACCAAGGCUAUGACACAUAACUGGUUUGAGAGGAUGAUCAGUCACACUGGAACUGAGACACGGUCCAGACUCCUACGGGAGGCAGCAGUGAGGAAUAUUGCACAAUGGGCGAAAGCCUGAUGCAGCAACGCCGCGUGGAGGAUGACGCAUUUCGGUGUGUAAACUCCUUUUAUAUGGGAAGAUAAUGACGGUACCAUAUGAAUAAGCACCGGCUAACUCCGUGCCAGCAGCCGCGGUAAUACGGAGGGUGCAAGCGUUACUCGGAAUUACUGGGCGUAAAGAGCGUGUAGGCGGGUUUGCAAGUUAGAAGUGAAAUCCUGUGGCUUAACCAUAGAACUGCUUCUAAAACUGCUUACCUAGAAUAUGGGAGAGGUAGACGGAAUUGAUGGUGUAGGGGUAAAAUCCGUAGAGAUCAUCAGGAAUACCGAAAGCGAAGGCGGUCUACUGGAACAUUAUUGACGCUGAGACGCGAAAGUGUGGGUAGCAAACAGGAUUAGAUACCCUGGUAGUCCACACCCUAAACGAUGAAUGUUAGUCGUUGGUGUGCUUGACACUUCAGUGAUGCAGCUAACGCAUUAAACAUUCCGCCUGGGGAGUACGGUCGCAAGAUUAAAACUCAAAGGAAUAGACGGGGACCCGCACAAGCGGUGGAGCAUGUGGUUUAAUUCGAAGAUACGCGAAGAACCUUACCUGGCCUUGACAUCCUUAGAAUCUUUUAGAGAUAAGAGAGUGCCUAGUUUACUAGGAGCUAAGUGACAGGUGCUGCACGGCUGUCGUCAGCUCGUGUCGUGAGAUGUUGGGUUAAGUCCCGCAACGAGCGCAACCCUCAUCAUUAGUUGCUAACAGUUAGGCUGAGAACUCUAAUGAGACUGCCUUCGUAAGGAGGAGGAAGGUGAGGACGACGUCAAGUCAUCAUGGCCCUUACGGCCAGGGCUACACACGUGCUACAAUGGGAAGGACAGUGAGACGCGAUACCGCGAGGUGGAGCAAAUCUAUAAACCUUCUCUCAGUUCGGAUUGUUCUCUGCAACUCGAGAACAUGAAGCUGGAAUCGCUAGUAAUCGUAAAUCAGCAAUGUUACGGUGAAUACGUUCCCGGGUCUUGUACUCACCGCCCGUCACACCAUGGGAGUUGAUUUCACCCGAAGCCGGAAUGCUAAAGUAGCUACCGUCCACGGUGGAAUCAGCGACUGGGGUG
RNAcentral lists this ribosomal RNA (1439 nucleotides) under uncultured Campylobacterota bacterium. Its description in RNAcentral is "bacterial SSU rRNA". It matches the Rfam family "Bacterial small subunit ribosomal RNA". Lineage: Bacteria; Pseudomonadati; Campylobacterota. The record is from RNAcentral.